GAUGAACGCUGGCGGCGUGCCUAAUACAUGCAAGUCGAGCGAACAGACGAGGAGCUUGCUCCUCUGACGUUAGCGGCGGACGGGUGAGUAACACGUGGAUAACCUACCUAUAAGACUGGGAUAACUUCGGGAAACCGGAGCUAAUACCGGAUAAUAUAUUGAACCGCAUGGUUCAAUAGUGAAAGACGGUUUUGCUGUCACUUAUAGAUGGAUCCGCGCCGCAUUAGCUAGUUGGUAAGGUAACGGCUUACCAAGGCGACGAUGCGUAGCCGACCUGUGAGGGUGAUCGGCCACAUUGGAGCGGGGACACGGUCCAGACUCCUACGGGAGGCAGCAGUAGGGAAUCUUCCGCAAUGGGCGAAAGCCUGACGGAGCAACGCCGCGUGAGUGAUGAAGGUCUUCGGAUCGUAAAACUCUGUUAUUAGGGAAGAACAAAUGUGUAAGUAACUAUGCAGGUCUUGACGGUACCUAAUCAGAAAGCCACGGCUAACUACGUG
Molecule: ribosomal RNA, 497 nt
Filed under: uncultured bacterium
Lineage: Bacteria
Description: partial 16S ribosomal RNA
Rfam family: Bacterial small subunit ribosomal RNA
Source: RNAcentral